CUCUGUCUCCCAGGUGCUGAGGUUUGAGAUGAGUGCUGCCAAGACAGACUUAUUUUCUCUGUUUCAACUACAGAACAUCUUCAGACACUGUGGAAUAUGCCCUAGGAACAAAUCUGCCACCUGUGAAGAAAUACUGAUCUAGAGAACACUGUGGUCUCUUAGGAUCCCAGUGAUAAUUGUCACCAUGAUGAAGUGACAUGAACAACCAGCUCAGCCUACCGGCACAGUGGCUUACACCCACAACUUCAGCACUUGAAAGACUGAGGCAGGAGGAUUGCUAUAAGUUCAAAGCCAACCCUGGAACACAGAACCAAAAGAAGACUAAAACAAACAGGCAAAAACUUCCGAGCAUUGAUUCAUCUUCAGACAGACUUUGCUCUUCGUCGUAGAUACUGUGAAAUGUAAUGUUCAAUUAAUAAUAGCUUGAGCUUUACAGCUGACUGUCCUGUCCUGUGGUUCUGUGGACCGGGAGCUACUUAAAGGUGUGAAUGGGGUCCUUGAGAUGGGACUGACUUCAGCUGGAUCACUGCCCAGUGAACCCAAGUGACAUGCUUUAGAAAGCACAAUCAACAGUAUUUGGUGUUGUUGACCACUGAAGACGAAUUUGAAUAGGAGUUUCAAAGACUGACAGGCCCAUGAGAAUGAGUUAGAUAAGAGACAAUGGCAGUAGACACUAGAGGUUUUAAAUGUUGUAUGAGAUCAGCCCCUGGUGGCCACCUUCAGUACUACAAUUGUCCAGCUUUGGGGUGGAGGCCUUUUGGGUUGACACUUGGAAUCUUCCUUUCCACAUUAGACAUGGUGACUGGAACACAAACAGACUUCAGAAGAUAGACAUAGAGUAUUCUAUAUUUACACAUAGAUAUGGAGUAUUGGAGUUUUUAGAAGGCUGUAUGGCAGAGCACCUAUCUGCUUCUCUGUAAAAAUAAGCUUUAUCUCUUCACUAGCUUGCCAUUUGCAAAGGAAACAGCCCAGAAACUACUUUGCUUUUUCUUUUUGAGACAGGGUCUCCUCGUUAGCGUAGCCUCGCCUUGAACUCAUUAUGUAGCUCAAGCUGGCCUAGAGUUUUCAGCAAUCCUCUGACUCAACCCGAGUGCUGGGAUUACAAAUGUGAAUCACAAUGUGCCCACUAUUCACAGAAACUCCAUAGUGCAAAAGGAACACCCCAUAUUACUCUGCUCUUUCCACCCUCUCCAAUGUCUAUUUGGUUUCUUUAGAAUUUCACUCAGGGGGCUGGAGAGAUGGCUCAGCAGUAAAGAACACUGACUGUUCUUCCAGAGGUCCCAAGUUCAACCACAUGGUGGCUCACAACCAUCUAUCAUGGGAUCUGAUGUCCUCUUCUGUUGUGUCUGAAGAAAGUAAUAAUGUACUCACAUAAAAUAAAGAAAUAAUU
RNAcentral lists this long non-coding RNA (1390 nucleotides) under Mus musculus (house mouse). RNAcentral's name for it is "predicted gene 2675". Lineage: Eukaryota; Metazoa; Chordata; Mammalia; Rodentia; Muridae. The record is from RNAcentral.